UGGCGGACGGGGGAGUAAUGUCUGGGAAACUGCCUGAUGGAGGGGGGUAACUACUGGAAACGGUAGCUAAUACCGCAUAACGUCGCAAGACCAAAGAGGGGGACCUUCGGGCCUCUUGCCAUCGGAUGUGCCCAGAUGGGAUUAGCUAGUAGGUGGGGUAACGGCUCACCUAGGCGACGAUCCCUAGCUGGUCUGAGAGGAUGACCAGCCACACUGGAACUGAGACACGGUCCAG
RNAcentral lists this ribosomal RNA (235 nucleotides) under uncultured bacterium. RNAcentral's name for it is "partial 16S ribosomal RNA". It matches the Rfam family "Bacterial small subunit ribosomal RNA", at positions 96 to 334 of the family's 1533-position model. The record is from RNAcentral.